Austrofundulus limnaeus is the source of this 434-nucleotide non-coding RNA. NCBI's taxonomy places the organism in Eukaryota, Metazoa, Chordata, Actinopteri, Cyprinodontiformes, Rivulidae. The record is from the annotation of a RefSeq genome assembly.
UCUCCUGAUUGGAUAAUACUUCUUUUUUCUAAACGCUGGAUAUGUUUCAAUAACUUUUAUCCUUUUUCAUGUAUUUCAGGUUCAUCAGGAGACAUUAUUGUGACUCAAAUUCCUGCAGCUCAGUCUGUUGUUUUAGGAGACAGGGUCAGCAUCAGAUGUAAAACCAGUCAGGAUGUUCACGUUUGGAGUGGUUACCAUCUUUUAGCCUGGUACCAACAGAAAGAUGGACAAACUCCUGAGCUCCUUAUUUAUCGUGCCAGCUAUCGAGCAUCAGGGACUCCAGAUCGUUUUACAGGCAGAGGAUCAAACUCUGACUUCAGUCUGACCAUCAGUAAUAUUCAGGCUGAAGAUGCUGCAGUUUAUUACUGUCAGAGUGAGCAUUAUAUUAACAGUCAGCAUCUGUUCACACAGUGAGAAACAGUCGUACAAAAACC